This 1345-nucleotide long non-coding RNA is filed under the name Homo sapiens (human). RNAcentral's name for it is "HSALNT0076358". The record is from RNAcentral. Lineage: Eukaryota; Metazoa; Chordata; Mammalia; Primates; Hominidae.
UUUUUUUUUUUUUUUUUAAAGACAUUGUCCUAAGUUAAAAAAGCCAACCACGAUUCCAAAUAUAUAAGGUACCUAGAGUAGUCAAAUUUACAGAGGCAGAAAGUAGAAUAGUGGUAGCCAAGGGCUGGAGGCUGGGGGAAUGGGAAGUUGUUGUUUAAUGGGUACAGAGUUUCAGUUUUGCAAGAUGAAAAGAGUUCUCGAAGAUUGGUAGCACAACAGUGUAAAUGUGAAAAUGGCAAAUUUUAUGUUACAUGAUUUUAUCCAAUUUAAAAAUAUAAAUAAAUAAUAAAAAUUUAAAAUAUCAGGUAGUAAGAAGGAUUAUGAAGAAGAUAAAACAAGUAGGUGCACAGAGCACUUGGGGUGGGGUGGGUAGAUUUAUAUUUGGUGGUCAGAGAACACUUCCCUGAUAAGUGACAGUCAAGCAGAGAUCUGAAGUCUGUGAAGGAGGAAGCACACAUCUGGGGAAAGAGCAUUUCAGCAGAUGUUAAAGCAAAUGCCAGUGGUAAAAAGUGGAACCAGUUUGGUGUGUUCUAGGAAUAGGAAGAGAGCCAGUUGUAGCUCAAACAUGAUAGGAGAGGAGAGUGGUGGAAUAAGGUCUCAGAGAGGUGGUGAUGGACAGAUCAUGUUUCGAGUUAUGCCUGAGUAUGUAUAAAGGCAUCCUGGUAUGAAUAAAAUGUAGGUAUUAUAUUUCUCUGUAAUUGUAGACAUAGUGUCUGUUUGUUUGAAGGCAGAUGAUUCUGUUGACUUACCUCAGACAUAUUUUCACUCUCUGUACCUCUCUAAGUUAGAUGAACAUUCGUAUUGGAGAUAGAGUCUCCAAGCUGUAUUCAGUAUUAUUCUUCUUCCCACCCCCACCUUGCCAUUUUUCUAAGGGAAUAGAUUUCCAAAAUUUUCAAGUUGCAGAAUGAAUGCUGUAUUUAUAGUUCAGAGCUAAAAUUUAAGCUUAUUUUAAGAAUUCUCUUAUUGCGGGAGGCCGAGGCGGGCAGAUCACAAGGUCAGGAGAUCGAGACCAUCCUGGCUAACACAGUGAAACCCCAUCUCUACUAAAAAUACAAAAAAUUAGCCGGGUGUAGUGGUGGGUGCCUGUAGUCCCAGCUACUCGGGAGGCUGAGGCAGGAGAAUGGCGUGAACCUGGGAGGCGGAGCUUGCAGUGAGCCAAGAUCACCGCCACUGCACUCCAGCCUGGGUGACAGAGGGAGACUCUGUCUCAAAAAAAAAAAAAAAAAAAGAAUUCUCCUAUUGCAAAAGUAAGUUUAAAAGGUAUGGAAAUCAAAGUAAAACUUUUAAUUUCAGAAUUAUCAAUAAUUUAUUGGAAAAUACGUAAUAAAAUGUUCAGUGUUUAUAA